Molecule: ribosomal RNA, 460 nt
Filed under: uncultured bacterium
Lineage: Bacteria
Description: partial 16S ribosomal RNA
Rfam family: Bacterial small subunit ribosomal RNA
Source: RNAcentral
CCUACGGGUGGCAGCAGUGAGGAAUAUUGGUCAAUGGGCGAGAGCCUGAACCAGCCAAGUCGCGUGAGGGAGGACGGUCCUACGGAUUGUAAACCUCUUUUGUCAGGGAACAAGGAGGGCCACGAGUGGUCCGGUGAGUGUACCUGAAGAAAAAGCAUCGGCUAACUCCGUGCCAGCAGCCGCGGUAAUACGGAGGAUGCGAGCGUUAUCCGGAUUUAUUGGGUUUAAAGGGUGCGCAGGCGGAUGGGUCAGUCCAGCGGUAAAAUUGGGGGGCCCAACCUCGCCGAGCCGUUGAAACGGGUAGUCUAGAGUUGGAGAGAAGUAUGCGGAAUGCGCGGUGUAGCGGUGAAAUGCAUAGAUAUCACGCAGAACUCCGAUUGCGAAGGCAGCAUACCGGCGCCCAACUGACGCUGAGGCACGAAAGCGUGGGUAUCGAACAGGAUUAGAUACCCUGGUAGUC